RNAcentral lists this ribosomal RNA (639 nucleotides) under uncultured bacterium. RNAcentral describes it as "bacterial SSU rRNA". It matches the Rfam family "Bacterial small subunit ribosomal RNA", at positions 232 to 885 of the family's 1533-position model. The record is from RNAcentral.
CGCGGCCUAUCAGCUUGUUGGUGAGGUAAAGGCUCACCAAGGCAUUGACGGGUAGCUGGUCUGAGAGGACGAUCAGCCACACUGGGACUGAGACACGGCCCAGACUCCUGCGGGAGGCAGCAGUGGGGAAUCUUGCGCAAUGGGCGAAAGCCUGACGCAGCAACGCCGCGUGGGGGAUGAAGGCUCUCGGGUUGUAAACCCCUUUCAGCAGGGACGAAAUUGACGGUACCUGUAGAAGAAGCCCCGGCCAACUACGCGCCAGCAGCCGCGGUAACACGUAGGGGGCGAGCGUUGUCCGGAAUUAUUGGGCGUAAAGGGCUCGUAGGCGGUUCGGUAAGUCAGAUGUGAAAGGUUGGGGCUCAACCCUAAGACUGCAUUUGAUACUGCCGUGACUAGAGUCCGGUAGAGGAGUGUGGAAUUCCUGGUGUAGCGGUGAAAUGCGCAGAUAUCAGGAGGAACACCGACGGCGAAGGCAGCACUCUGGGCCGGUACUGACGCUGAGGAGCGAAAGCGUGGGUAGCAAACAGGAUUAGAUACCCUGGUAGUCCACGCCGUAAACGUUGGGCACUAGGUGUGGGACCUUAUCAGCGGGUUCCGUGCCGUAGCUAACGCAUUAAGUGCCCCGCCUGGGGAGUACGG